RNAcentral lists this transfer RNA (92 nucleotides) under Paractinoplanes deccanensis. Its description in RNAcentral is "Actinoplanes deccanensis tRNA-Asn". The record is from RNAcentral. Lineage: Bacteria; Bacillati; Actinomycetota; Actinomycetes; Micromonosporales; Micromonosporaceae.
CGGUGUUGACGAACGUGGUGCGCGUGCCGGAGUUGGCGGCGAGCGACUCGAAGGCCGAGUCGUUGCCGUCGUUCCAGCCGCCGAUCGCCAGC